GAGCUCAAAUUUGAAAGCUGGCGUCUUCGGCGUCCGCGUUGUAAUCUCGAGAAGUGUUUUCCGUGCUGGACCAUGUACAAGUUCCUUGGAAUAGGACGUCAUAGAGGGUGAAAAUCCCGUACUUGAUGUGGCCGCCCAGUGCUUUGUGAUACACUUUCCAUGAGUCGAGUUGUUUGGGAAUGCAGCUCAAAAUGGGUGGUAAAUUCCAUCUAAAGCUAAAUAUUGGGGAGAGACCGAUAGCGAACAAGUACCGUGAGGGAAAGAUGAAAAGCACUUUGGAAAGAGAGUUAAAUAGUACGUGAAAUUGUCGAAAGGGAAGCGCUUGAAGUUAGACAUGCUAGUUGGAAUUCAGCCUUGCUUUUGCUUGGUGCAUUUUCCGGUUAGCAGGCCAGCAUCAGUUUUGCCUGUCGGAUAAGGGUAGGAGGAAUGUGGCCCCUCGGGGUGUUAUAGCCUCUUACUGGAUACGACGGGUGGGACUGAGGACAGCAGUGCGCCUUUAUGGCGGGCCUUCGGGCACCUUCGCACUUAGGAUGCUGGCGUAAUGGCUUUAAGCGACCCGUCUU
Molecule: ribosomal RNA, 563 nt
Filed under: uncultured Jaminaea
Lineage: Eukaryota; Fungi; Basidiomycota; Exobasidiomycetes; Microstromatales
Description: eukaryotic LSU rRNA
Rfam family: Eukaryotic large subunit ribosomal RNA
Source: RNAcentral